GAGUUACUUUCAGUGGCGAGGUUAACUGAAUAAGGGAGCCGUAGAGAAAUCGAGUCUGAAUAGGGCGAUAGUCGCUGGGAGUAGACCCGAAACCGGGCGAUCUAGCCAUGUGCAGGAUGAAGGUUGGGUAACACCAACUGGAGGUCCGAACCGGGUAAUGUUGAAAAAUUAUCGGAUGACGUGUGGCUAGGAGUGAAAGGCUAAUCAAGCCCGGAGAUAGCUGGUUCUCCCCGAAAGCUAUUUAGGUAGCGCCUCGUGAAUGAUUACUGGGGGUAGAGCACUGUUUCGGCUAGGGGGCUGUCAUGGCUUACCAAACCGAUGCAAACUCCGAAUACCGGCUAAUUGAAUCACGGGAGACACACGGCGGGUGCUAACGUCCGUCGUGGAGAGGGAAACAACCCAGACCGCCAGCUAAGGUCCCCAAGUACUAGUUAAGUGGGAAACGAUGUGGGAAGGCAUAGACAGCCAGGAGGUUGGCUUAGAAGCAGCCACCCUUUAAAGAAAGCGUAAUAGCUCACUGGUCGAGUCGGCCUGCGCGGAAGAUGUAACGGGGCUAAAACUAGUCACCGAAGCUGCGGAUGUGCGCGAAGGCGCACGUGGUAGGGGAGCGUUCUGUAGGCUGAUGAAGGUGCAUUGAGAAGUGUGCUGGAGGUAUCAGAAGUGCGAAUGCUGACAUGAGUAACGAUAAUGUGGGUGAAAAGCCCACACGCCGGAAGUCCCAGGUUUCCUGCACGACGUUAAUCGGAGCAGGGUGAGUCGGCCCCUAAGGCGAGGCUGAAGAGCGUAGUCGAUGGGAACCAGGUUAAUAUUCCUGGACUUUUUAUAAGUGGUGAAGUGGGGACGAAGAAGGCUAGGUGAGCCAGGCGUUGGUUGUCCUGGUACUUGCAUGUAGGGGGGAAGACUUGGCAAAUCCGGUUUUCCAUAACUCUGAGGUGCGAAGUGGUUCUGACCUUUUGGUACAGAGAAGUCAUUGAUGCCCGGCUUCCAGGAAAAGCUGCUAGCCAUAACUUAUAGAGAACCGUACCGCAAACCGACACAGGUGGACAGGUAGAGAAUACUAAGGCGCUUGAGAGAACUCGGGUGAAGGAACUAGGCAAAAUGGUACCGUAACUUCGGGAGAAGGUACGCCCUUUCUGGUGAUGGGAUUUACUUUCAGAGCUGGAGAGGGCCGCAGAGACCAGGUGGCUGCGACUGUUUAUUAAAAACACAGCACUCUGCAAAUUCGUAAGAAGACGUAUAGGGUGUGACGCCUGCCCGGUGCCGGAAGGUUAAUUGAUGGGGUUAUCUUCGGAGAAGCUCUUGAUCGAAGCCCCGGUAAACGGCGGCCGUAACUAUAACGGUCCUAAGGUAGCGAAAUUCCUUGUCGGGUAAGUUCCGACCUGCACGAAUGGCGUAACGAUGGCCACACUGUCUCCACCCGAGACUCAGUGAAAUUGAAAUCGCUGUGAAGAUGCAGUGUACCCGCGGCUAGACGGAAAGACCCCGUGAACCUUUACUAUAGUUUUGCACUGGACUUUGAUGAUGACUGUGUAGGAUAGGUGGGAGGCUGUGAAGUGAGGACGCUAGUUCUCAUGGAGCCGCCCUUGAAAUACCACCCUGUUGUUAUUGAGGUUCUAACUUGGUCCAGUAAUCCUGGAUGAGGACAGUGUAUGAUGGGUAGUUUGACUGGGGCGGUCUCCUCCCAAAGAGUAACGGAGGAGCACAAAGGUACCCUCGGUACGGUCGGACAUCGUACCAAGAGUGUAAAGGCAAAAGGGUGCUUGACUGCGAGAGUGACGGCUCGAGCAGGAACGAAAGUUGGUCUUAGUGAUCCGGUGGUUCUGAAUGGAAGGGCCAUCGCUCAACGGAUAAAAGGUACUCCGGGGAUAACAGGCUGAUACCGCCCAAGAGUUCAUAUCGACGGCGGUGUUUGGCACCUCGAUGUCGGCUCAUCACAUCCUGGGGCUGAAGCAGGUCCCAAGGGUAUGGCUGUUCGCCAUUUAAAGUGGUACGCGAGCUGGGUUUAGAACGUCGUGAGACAGUUCGGUCCCUAUCUGCCGUGGGCGUAGGAAAAUUGAGAGGAGCUGCUCCUAGUACGAGAGGACCGGAGUGGACGAACCUCUGGUGCACCGGUUGUCACGCCAGUGGCAUGGCCGGGUAGCUAAGUUCGGACGGGAUAACCGCUGAAAGCAUCUAAGCGGGAAGCCUCCCUCAAGAUGAGUUUUCCCAUGAAGCCCGUUGAAGACUACGACGUUGAUAGGCAAGGUGUGGAAGCGCAGUAAUGCGUGAAGCUAACUUGUACUAAUUGGCUGAUUGUCUUGACCAUAUAAUCUGAG
RNAcentral lists this ribosomal RNA (2315 nucleotides) under Legionella pneumophila. RNAcentral describes it as "partial 23S ribosomal RNA". It matches the Rfam family "Bacterial large subunit ribosomal RNA", at positions 625 to 2925 of the family's 2925-position model. The record is from RNAcentral. Lineage: Bacteria; Pseudomonadati; Pseudomonadota; Gammaproteobacteria; Legionellales; Legionellaceae.